This 642-nucleotide ribosomal RNA is filed under the name uncultured bacterium. Its description in RNAcentral is "bacterial SSU rRNA". It matches the Rfam family "Bacterial small subunit ribosomal RNA", at positions 8 to 643 of the family's 1533-position model. The record is from RNAcentral.
AGAGUUUGAUCCUGGCUCAAGAUGAACGCUGGCGGUGUGCUUAACACAUGCAAGUCAAGCGAAGCAAAUCAGAGGAAGUUUUCAGAUGGANAUCCGAUUUGACUGAGCGGCUGACGGUUGAGUAACGCCUGGGUAACCUGCCUUAUACAGGGGGAUAACAGUUAGAAAUGGCUGCUAAUACCGCAUAAUGUAUUUUGACCGCAUCAUCGAAAUACCAAAGAUUUAUCGCUGAGGGAUGGACUCACGUCUGAUUAGGUAGUUGGUGGGGUAACGGCCUACCAAGCCGACGAUCAGUAGCCGGACUGAGAGGUUGAUCGGCCACAUUGGGACUGAGGCACGGCCCAGACUCCUACGGGAGGCAGCAGUGGGGAAUAUUGCACAAUGGGCGCAAGCCUGAUGCAACAACGCCGCGUGAAGGAAGACGGUUUUCGGAUUGUAAACUUCUGUUCUUAGUGAAAAAUAAUGACGGUAGCUAAGGAGCAAGCCACGGCUAACUACGUGCCAGCAGCCGCGGUAAUACCUAGGUGGCAAGCGUUGUCCCGGAAUUACUGGGUGUAAAAGGGAGCCCCAGCCGGUUGAUCAAAGUCAACUGUGAAAACUAUGGGCUUAACCCGUAGACUGCAGGUUGAAACUUGUUCAUUC